RNAcentral lists this ribosomal RNA (505 nucleotides) under uncultured bacterium. RNAcentral describes it as "partial 16S ribosomal RNA". It matches the Rfam family "Bacterial small subunit ribosomal RNA", at positions 28 to 507 of the family's 1533-position model. The record is from RNAcentral.
GACGAACGCUGGCGGCGUGCCUAAUACAUGCAAGUAGAACGCACAGUUUAUACCGUAGCUUGCUACACCAUAAACUGUGAGUUGCGAACGGGUGAGUAACGCGUAGGUAACCUGCCUGGUAGCGGGGGAUAACUAUUGGAAACGAUAGCUAAUACCGCAUAAUAUUGAUUAUUGCAUGAUAAUUGAUUGAAAGAUGCUAUUGCAUCACUACCAGAUGGACCUGCGUUGUAUUAGCUAGUAGGUGAGGUAACGGCUCACCUAGGCGACGAUACAUAGCCGACCUGAGAGGGUGAUCGGCCACACUGGGACUGAGACACGGCCCAGACUCCUACGGGAGGCAGCAGUAGGGAAUCUUCGGCAAUGGACGAAAGUCUGACCGAGCAGCGCCGCGUGAGUGAAGAAGGUUUUCGGAUCGUAAAGCUCUGUUGUAAGAGAAGAACGGGUGUGAGGGUGGAAAGUUCACACUGUGACGGUAGCUUACCAGAAAGGGACGGCUAACUACGUG